CAACCGCCCGUCACACCCAUGGAAGUCUGCUGCACCAGAAGUAGGUAGUCUAACCGCAAGGGGGCGCCUACCACGAUGUGGCCGAGUGACGUGGGGUG
This 98-nucleotide ribosomal RNA is filed under the name uncultured bacterium. RNAcentral describes it as "partial 16S ribosomal RNA". The record is from RNAcentral.